CGAAGGGUGCAAGCGUUAAUCGGAAUUACUGGGCGUAAAGCGUGCGUAGGUGGUUUCUUAAGUCUGCUGUGAAAGCCCUGGGCUCAACCUGGGAAUGGCGGUGGAUACUGAGGAGCUAGAGUGCGGUAGAGGAGGGUGGAAUUCCCGGUGUAGCGGUGAAAUGCGUAGAGAUCGGGAGGAACAUCAGUGGCGAAGGCGGCCCUCUGGACCAGCACUGACGCUGAGGCACGAAAGCGUGGGGAGCAAACAGGAUUAGAUACCCUGGUAGUCCACGCCCUAAACGAUGCGGACUGGACGUUGGGCACAAUUCGGUGCUCAGUGUCGAAGCUAACGCGUUAAGUCCGCCGCCUGGGGAGUACGCUCGCAAGAGUG
Molecule: ribosomal RNA, 372 nt
Filed under: uncultured organism
Description: bacterial SSU rRNA
Rfam family: Bacterial small subunit ribosomal RNA
Source: RNAcentral